AGGGGCCUGGGCCUGGACAACAUGGCCGCCCCCAGGGUUAGAGCCGCUUGUCCUCCAGCCGCCUGGUCUCUCUUGAUGAGGAUUUAACCUCUGGUCAUUAGGUCCUGCCUGCUACCUUUGUUUCAGGUUAGCUCAAUCCCAGGCCUAACCAGCGUUUUCCUGGAGCCCACCCCAGGGCCAGGCCCUCUCAGCUAGAACAUCUCUCUCAGCCUUACCUCCCGGGUGGAGCUCUCCACAAAUGGCCCCCCAAACAUGGCAGCCAUCCAGUCACAGCUGGAAAUCAACAGGGGCUUGUGGGCGCUGAUGGUGCCAUCAUCCAGGAUGAAGGUCACAUCUGUCCAGAAGAAGCAUCACAGGAGGACUGGUGAAAGAAGCUGGGAGAACAAGCCCCAAGGGGAGCCACGGAGCCUCCUCCUGAACCCAGAAGAUUCGGGGCACGGAACAAACCCGCUCCCAGCUGGGGAAAACCAGGCUUCAAGAGCAUGGCAGCCGCAGCUCCAGGACACCAGGAGCUGAGACAGACAGGCAAUGCUAAUAGCACCAAUGCAGAACCCCCUUGCUUUCCAAGCCUGUUCCAUACCUGAGAAGGUGCCUUUUGCCAAGCACUCCUUAACCCGGUUGGUCCGGCGGACGUGGAAGGCCUUGGUGAUCUCCUGGUUCAUGAAGGCCUCAUUGUUGAGAAUGUUGGCCACCAUCAUGCGCAGAUCAAAGACCUCGAGCAGCUCAGCAAUGUGGGCAAUGUGCAUGAGGUCACGCUCGUUCUCAUCUAGCUCCCCCGUGUACAGGUACUUGAGGACAGCCCGGAAGGGCCCCGGCUGGAUGGAACUGUCCAUCUUCACCACCACCAUCAGCCGGGAUUUGUAGGUGAGAGGAUCUUCUGCCAUCUCUUCCUGGAUGCUCACAAAAGCUCGGCUCCAGGAAGACAGCACACGACCCCUGCCCGGUAGGUACCCUGUUCCGUUGCCCCGUAAGAUCCCGUCGCUGGUGGAAGCACGGAGGCCAGCAGGACCGGAGCCCCCAGCCUCAUCCACGCUCUCGCACACGUCAAAGCUGGCUGCUCGGAGCAGGAAGUCUCGCCCAUGGUGGUGGUGGUGAUGGUGGUGGUGUUGAUCAGAGUGGCCCUGGUGGUCCUCUGGGUGGGUGCCCCCUGGCUCCGAGGGGCCCCCCAGCUCCCCCUCACUCAGGUCCAUGAGGAACAGGUCAUAGAACUUGGAGGAAGAGGUGGAGAGGUAGAUCUUGUGGGCAAAGAUGCGCACCCGCUCCUGCAGCACCAGGAUGACGUCCGCGCAGAGCGGGUCCUCCAGGAGGUGGGCGGGGCACUCCUCGCUGCUGGAGGGAGGGUCGGGCACCACGAUGAUCGGGGGCGGUGGCUUGGGGGGUAGGAAGGGUGCCUGCAGCAGAGGCCGCUGCACAUUGCGGAGGUGGGACUUCCAGAACUGCAGGUGGCGGCGGGAGAUGAGUGCAGCUCGGAUGGCGUUGUCAAAGACGUCCUUGAUGCCGAACUGGGCCACCACGCUGGUCUCAUAGUAGGGGAUGCCCAGCUCCUUGGCCACCUCCCGACCCUUCUCUGGGGGCAGGAUUUCAUUAGGUUUGAUGGGCCUGGUAGGUUCAAGAAGGAAACCAAGCUUGUGUUGGUGGUGGAGGGAGGCUGCCUGUUCUUCCACAGGCUGGAGGGACUCUGCUCAGGAUCUGGGUGCCAAUCCCCACCCACUCCUGCCCUGCUCUGUCUGGCCAAAUCCCAUCAAGCUCCUUCAAGGUCCACUCCAAGCCCUUUUUCUUCCAGAAAGCUUUCCCUACUAUGCCAGGCCCCAGUGACCUCCCCAGUACAAAGCCGUGACAGCACUGCCUCUCUGGCAAUUAGCAGGCAAUGCUUCACAUGGGUAUUUAACAUGCUCACAUAUUUAGUUUAUCCCUCAGCAAAAUUAUAGGACUUUUUCAUGCAAAUGAUGGAAUCUUACUCUGUUGCCCAGGUUGGAGUGCAGUGAGUGCAAUGGCUCACUGCAAUCUCUGCCUCCCAGGUUCAAGUGAUUCUCCUGCCUCAGCCUCCUGAGUAGCUGGGAUUACAGGCAUGCACCAUGAUGCCCGGCUAAUUUUUGUAUUUUUAGUAGAGACAGGGUUUCGCCAUGUUGGCCAGGCUGGUCUCGAACUCCUGACCUCAGGUGAUCUGCCCACCUUGGUCUCACCAAAGUACUGUGCUGGGAUUCCAGGCAUGAGCCACCACGGUCGGCCAGAAACACCUUUAAAAAGACAAUACUACAUCAUGAUCAG
RNAcentral lists this long non-coding RNA (2268 nucleotides) under Homo sapiens (human). RNAcentral describes it as "long non-coding RNA NONHSAT216848.1". The record is from RNAcentral. Lineage: Eukaryota; Metazoa; Chordata; Mammalia; Primates; Hominidae.